UAUCGGGUCUCAGCUCCUGCUUAAACAGAUAAACCAUGUGUGCCUCGUCCCUGGCCACAAACGGCACACAGUUCAGGAGUCGAGUGAACUCCCGAAUGUACUCCUGCACCGGCCGAUCCCCCUGCUGAAUCCUCUUCAAAUCCUCCUCGAGCUUCUGUUUCACACUGUUGAAAAAAUACAUCCCAAACAGCAUUCCUCAGAACUUAUCCCAUUUCAGCUGUAACGCUACCAGUCCCUGCUCUCGUUUCACUCUCCUCCACCAGGUGUGUGCAUCACCUGCCAAGCAACGGACUCCCAAAGAUACCUGCUCCCACUCAGGGAUGAACAGGUCCUCAAAUAACUUCUCUAUCGCACUGACCCAGCCCUCAACAACCCAAGCCUCAGUGCAACUGCCAUCGA
RNAcentral lists this long non-coding RNA (399 nucleotides) under Ananas comosus (pineapple). Its description in RNAcentral is "long non-coding RNA (ACOM_LNC006826)". The record is from RNAcentral. Lineage: Eukaryota; Viridiplantae; Streptophyta; Magnoliopsida; Poales; Bromeliaceae.